This 1729-nucleotide ribosomal RNA is filed under the name Triticum aestivum (bread wheat). Its description in RNAcentral is "partial small subunit ribosomal RNA". The record is from RNAcentral. Lineage: Eukaryota; Viridiplantae; Streptophyta; Magnoliopsida; Poales; Poaceae.
GUUUGAUGCUAGGGCCUUCUUUUUAGCAAAUAUCGUAGGGCCUUCUCUGGGAAGGCCAAAAGCUCGACAGCCACUGACCUAGUCAAUAGUGACUGUACCAACUCCGUGUCUUUAAAACCAGAGGUUUUCUCAUGUGUUGUCGUCGGCAGAACCUGGGAGAAAUAAGGUGCAGCGUCUCAUAGUGUAACCCCCCUCCACCGGCCGCCGCCGCUACACUCACCAGCUAACCUCACCAUUUCAGGUAGCAUAUGAGCAGAGAAAGCUUGGGCAAGAACUCCAAGAUCAUGGGUGGCCGUGAAAGAAAAGAAGUUAAUAGCACCGCAAAGCAUUUUGUUGAUUUCACAGAAGCAGAGGAAGAUCUUGUUUUCAGAAUGCACAGGCUUGUCGGGAACAGGUGGGAACUUAUAGCUGGAAGAAUCCCCGGAAGAACAGCAGAAGAAGUAGAGAUGUUCUGGGCAAAAAGGCACCAGGACCAAUGAAAAUGAAAACAGGAUGCAUGCAGUAAACUAGAUUGACAUAUAGGAUGCAUUUUCAUGUCCAUCAAAAACCUGUGUUGAUCUUACUCGUCCUAUCUUCUCAGCCAUGCUAAAAAGCAACUUGUUCUGUACCAAGCAUGGAUGUACAUAAGAAAACCUCAAGAAAAAGGAGGAACAUGUGCUCAAUAAACAAAAAUAUGAAUUCGCUUUGUUCCAGGAUUAUUCUAACAUUUCGUACUAAUUACAUCACAUGUUAAAUGGCCACAGUGACUAUAAAGUCGCAGAUUGACCAAAAAAGUAGACACUGCAUGAUCACAUAACCAUAUAUUUGGUUGGGGAACUAAUUCCAAAUGUAAAUCACAUAUCAAUGCAUCACAGAGAAGUUACAACAUGCAAGAAACAAUAGGAGAUGUCCAUCAUAUGGUAGGAAGAUGUAUAUCUCUGUGCAAAACUAGAACAUAGUUGACUGUUGUUACUGUAUAUCUGUAACUGCACUCGUAAGGAAGCUUGACAUAUCACAAAGUUUCCAUGUAAGAAGUUAUCCGCUAUCAGAUAAUAAUUCAAAUGCUAAAAGAAUAGCGCUCACAAUGCAUACAACAAAGAGACAUGCGAUUAUCUUUUUAAUACUUCACAUCAGAAGUUGUUUAAGUUUAACUGGCAUUGUUCAGAAAAUAACAUUCAUAAACAGAUAUUCCUAGAGAACAUCAAAAAAGUAGUCCAAACCUUGUCCAAUUUCCCAGAUUGAAAGCCCUGCCCCCCAAUCUUGCGCUUCAUCCAAACGUACAGAAAGAGACAACAGCGUCGGAUAAAAUACAGCAUGCCUCACACCUUUAUCCGAAUAUAUAAAAAAAUGCUCUGAACUUUUGUCAUCCCAUUGCAAAGAUGGCUUGUACUUCUCAAGUAAAUGAAUGAAAUCUCUUCCAGUAAUAGAACCACCACCACCACCUGUGUAUGUAGAUUAAUAAGACACAAUAAUCCCAAAUUCAUGCCAAACAUAAGCUAUAAGCAAGAAACAUAAUACACCGUGCAACUAAUUUUUUUUUUCAUCUGCUACCAAUGGUAAACAAUGUUCCUACUGGAUUUUGAGUGUAAUGUCAUAAUAUGGGUCAAUCAGUGACAUUUCAAGCAAACAGGGUACCAACACAACAUGGGUGACCUCUCUGUUUCACAUGGCCAUGUAAAAAGACGCUUUGUCAUUUCAAUGGCAAGGGUGUGAAAAUGAGUAUAAGUACCUUUAGAAAGUAGAAAAUCAU